This 217-nucleotide ribosomal RNA is filed under the name Wyeomyia ypsipola. RNAcentral describes it as "partial 16S ribosomal RNA". Lineage: Eukaryota; Metazoa; Arthropoda; Insecta; Diptera; Culicidae. The record is from RNAcentral.
GAUCUUUAUUUUUAUUUUUUAUAAAUUAAUUAGAUUAAAAAUUUUUAUAAUAAAUUUAAAAAUUUUAUUGGGGUGAUAUUAAAAUUUAAUAAACUUUUAAUUUUUUUUUACAUUAAUAUAUGAAUUAUUGAUCCAAUUUUAUUGAUUAAAAAAUUAAGUUACCUUAGGGAUAACAGCGUAAUUUUUUUUUAGAGUUCAUAUCGACAAAAAAGAUUGC